GGGGAUGUAGCUCAGUGGUAGAGCGCUUGCUUUGCAUGUAAGAGGCCCUGGGUUCGAACCCCAGCAUCUCCA
Molecule: transfer RNA, 72 nt
Filed under: Eumeta japonica
Lineage: Eukaryota; Metazoa; Arthropoda; Insecta; Lepidoptera; Psychidae
Rfam family: tRNA
About the family: Transfer RNA (tRNA) molecules are approximately 80 nucleotides in length. Their secondary structure includes four short double-helical elements and three loops (D, anti-codon, and T loops).
Source: Rfam by way of RNAcentral